GCUGGGCGUGGUGGCGCAUGCCUGUAAUCCCAGCUACUCAGGAGGCUGAGGCAGGAGAAUCGCUCGAACCCAGGAGGUGGAGGUUGCAGUGAGCUGAGAUCAUGCCACUGCACUUCAGCCUGGGCAACAGAGCAAGACUCCGUCUCGA
This is an unclassified non-coding RNA of Pongo abelii (Sumatran orangutan), 148 nucleotides long. It matches the Rfam family "Metazoan signal recognition particle RNA". From Rfam's summary of the family: The signal recognition particle (SRP) is a universally conserved ribonucleoprotein. It is involved in the co-translational targeting of proteins to membranes. The eukaryotic SRP consists of a 300-nucleotide 7S RNA and six proteins: SRPs 72, 68, 54, 19, 14, and 9. Lineage: Eukaryota; Metazoa; Chordata; Mammalia; Primates; Hominidae. The record is from Ensembl.